This 468-nucleotide ribosomal RNA is filed under the name uncultured bacterium. RNAcentral's name for it is "partial 16S ribosomal RNA". It matches the Rfam family "Bacterial small subunit ribosomal RNA", at positions 28 to 507 of the family's 1533-position model. The record is from RNAcentral.
GACGAACGCUGGCGGCGUGCUUAACACAUGCAAGUCGAACGGAAAGGCCCUGCUUUUGUGGGGUGCUCGAGUGGCGAACGGGUGAGUAACACGUGAGUAACCUGCCCUUGACUUUGGGAUAACUUCAGGAAACUGGGGCUAAUACCGGAUAGGAGCUCCUGCUGCAUGGUGGGGGUUGGAAAGUUUCGGCGGUUGGGGAUGGACUCGCGGCUUAUCAGCUUGUUGGUGGGGUAGUGGCUUACCAAGGCUUUGACGGGUAGCCGGCCUGAGAGGGUGACCGGCCACAAUGGGACUGGGAUACGGCCCAGACUCCUACGGGAGGCAGCAGUGGAGAAUAUUGCACAAUGGGCGGAAGCCUGAUGCAGCAACGCCGCGUGCAGGAUGACGGCCUUCGGGUUGUAAACCGCUUUCGCCUGUGACGAAGCGUGAGUGACGGUAAUGGGUAAAGAAGCACCGGCUAACUACGUG